GAUGAAGAACGCAGCGAAAUGCGAUAAGUAAUGUGAAUUGCAGAAUUCAGUGAAUCAUCGAAUCUUUGAACGCACCUUGCACCCUUUGGUAUUCCGAAGGGUAUGCUCGUUUGAGUGUCAUUGUACUCUCACACUUCUAAUUCCUUUCGGGAUUGGGAGCGGUGGACUUGGGUGUUGCUGCUUUAGUUGUGGCUCACCUCAAAUAAGUUAGUGCAACUCUUGGUUGGACAUAGUACGGCGUGAUAAGUGUCUUCGCCGGCGCCUCUGUAAGGAGGGUGGCCGAUCGGGAGCUCUGUGCUUCAAACCGUCUUCGGACAACAUCUGACAACUUGACCUCAAAUCGAGUAGGACUACCCGCUGAACUUAAGCAUAUCAAUAAGCGGAGGA
Molecule: unclassified non-coding RNA, 387 nt
Filed under: soil metagenome
Description: partial contains 5.8S ribosomal RNA, internal transcribed spacer 2, and large subunit ribosomal RNA
Rfam family: 5.8S ribosomal RNA (bases 1-120)
Source: RNAcentral